This is a long non-coding RNA of Eriocheir sinensis (Chinese mitten crab), 1425 nucleotides long. RefSeq lists it as uncharacterized. The record is from RefSeq and is a predicted model, not a curated record. NCBI's taxonomy places the organism in Eukaryota, Metazoa, Arthropoda, Malacostraca, Decapoda, Varunidae. The transcript is spliced from 3 exons.
UGCCCAACACGCGUUAAUAUUAAGCCAUUAGACGGAAGAUAUUGUGGGCCAUGGUGCCAAGUUGUGAUUUUCAAGGGUGGUUUAAGCGCCAAGUGUCUACGUGAGUGCCACAAAGGGUAUGGCCGUAGUAUUCAAGGGCCAUGGACCACCGAGGGGCCAUUAGAGGGAAGAUACUGUGUGCCAUGGUGCCAAGUGUACGAGGGUGCCACAGAGAGUUAGGUAGACGCCCCUGCCAUGGCCUUACUCAACCAGGGCCAUGGACCACCGGAGGGCCAUUGGAGGGGAGAAAUAAUGGUCCAUAGUGCCAUAUUUUGUGAUGUUCAAGGAGUAGCUGUGAAUGGCCUCAAUGAAGAAUGCGAGAAGUCUGAACAUGAGAUACAGGAGGAGGAGGAGGAGGAGGGCCUGAUACGACAAGAAUGUGGCUUCACCUACAGGGGAUGCAUUUGAGAUUAAGGAGUAGCCGUGAAUGGCCUCAAUGAAGAACAUGAGACACAAGAAAAGAUAGGAGGAGGAGGAGGAAUACAUAGGAAGAACAGACACCAGAAGACCUAUCGGUCUAUGGCGAGGGUGUCUGUUUAAGCAGGAGAGAAGGAGGAGGGCCUGAUACAACAUGAAAGCCUUCCCAAAUGUGUGUGUGUGUGUGUGUGUGUGUGUGUGUGUGUGUGUGUGUGUGUGUGUGUGUGUGUGUGUGUGUGCUUGCAGGGAGAUGAACCUUUAUCUGACUAAUGAGACUUUCUUUCAGGUCUGUGCAGAGGUGGGGGAGGAAGACUGCAGGAGGCUGUAGAGGGGUGGAUUGGGUGAAGGGGGACUUGACAACACUACCAUGCAAGCUGGGCUAAGGUAAUGUAUGAUUGGUUUUGUUACGCUCAAAGGGAAGGGCGAUCCCAGAUACGUCGCGGAGGCGCUGUUUUGGCCUGGCCGUAGUGAGUUUCUUUAUGUGCACCAUUUAAUUCUGCAUGUUUUCGUAUAUAAUACAUGAUGAUUAUGUUGAGUUUAUGGCUGAAAACUUGUUAUAUUCAAUAGCGACAUUUGAAAUUUGGCGCGCACGGUGAUCUCGGAUACGGUCCGGGGCGCUGUUUUGGCCCGGCCGUAGUGAAGGGGUUAAGUGUAUCUAUGAAGGCUAAUUAUCUAUAAGUAUUUAAGUGUAAGGUUCUGUGGGGUAACUAAUCUAAGUGUAAUGGUGCAUUCUGUGGGAAUUACUUAAGUGUAAUCUAUGAAGGCUACAUCUAUAAGUAUAUAAGUGUGUAAGGUCCUGUGGGGUAACUAAUCUAAGGUUAUGUGCAACUACUGGUUCUGGUGCUGUGGGUAACUCCUACAAACCCUUUCUACUAUGGCUAUUAAUUAACAAAAACCUCUUACUUUCAGCUUGUGCACUGGGUUAAAAAAUAGUUAAUGUUAGAGUUGGAAGUGUCUGACAGUCCCAUC